RNAcentral lists this ribosomal RNA (426 nucleotides) under uncultured bacterium. RNAcentral describes it as "bacterial SSU rRNA". It matches the Rfam family "Bacterial small subunit ribosomal RNA", at positions 354 to 796 of the family's 1533-position model. The record is from RNAcentral.
GUGAGGAAUUUUCCGCAAUGGGCGAAAGCCUGACGGAGCAAUGCCGCGUGAAGGAUGAAGGCCUAUGGGUUGUAAACUUCUUUUCUCAGAAAAGAAUUAUGACGGUAUCUGAGGAAUAAGCAUCGGCUAACUCUGUGCCAGCAGCCGCGGUAAGACAGAGGAUGCAAGCGUUAUCCGGAAUGAUUGGGCGUAAAGCGUCUGUAGGUUGUUUAAAAAGUAUUCUGUCAAAGAUUAGGGCUUAACCCUAGAUAGGCAGAAUAAACUUUUAAGCUAGAGUUUGGUAGAGGCAGAGGGAAUUCCCGGUGGAGCGGGGAAAUGCGUAGAUAUCGGGAGGAACACCAAAGGCGAAGGCACUCUGCUGGGCCAAUACUAACACUGAGAGACGAAAGCGAGGGGAGCAAAUGGGAUUAGAUACCCCUGUAGUCC